UGUAGCUUAAUGGUAGAGUGCUUGCCUAGCAUGCAUGAAGCCCUGGGUUCGAUUCCCCAGUA
This 62-nucleotide transfer RNA is filed under the name Dipodomys ordii (Ord's kangaroo rat). It matches the Rfam family "tRNA", at positions 6 to 65 of the family's 71-position model. From Rfam's summary of the family: Transfer RNA (tRNA) molecules are approximately 80 nucleotides in length. Their secondary structure includes four short double-helical elements and three loops (D, anti-codon, and T loops). Further hydrogen bonds mediate the characteristic L-shaped molecular structure. tRNAs have two regions of fundamental functional importance: the anti-codon, which is responsible for specific mRNA codon recognition, and the 3' end, to which the tRNAs corresponding amino acid is attached (by aminoacyl-tRNA synthetases). tRNAs cope with the degeneracy of the genetic code in two manners: having more than one tRNA (with a specific anti-codon) for a particular amino acid; and 'wobble' base-pairing, i.e. permitting non-standard base-pairing at the 3rd anti-codon position. Lineage: Eukaryota; Metazoa; Chordata; Mammalia; Rodentia; Heteromyidae. The record is from Rfam by way of RNAcentral.